AACGAACGCUGGCGGCAGGCCUAACACAUGCAAGUCGAACGCCGUAGCAAUACGGAGUGGCAGACGGGUGAGUAACACGUGGGAACGUACCCUUCGGUUCGGAAUAACUCAGGGAAACUUGAGCUAAUACCGGAUACGUCCGAGAGGAGAAAGAUUUAUCGCCGAGGGAUCGGCCCGCGUCUGAUUAGCUUGUUGGUGAGGUAACGGCUCACCAAGGCGACGAUCAGUAGCUGGCUGAGAGGAUGAUCAGCCACAUUGGGACUGAGACACGGCCCAAACUCCUACGGGAGGCAGCAGUGGGGAAUAUUGGACAAUGGGCGCAAGCCUGAUCCAGCCAUGCCGCGUGAGUGAUGAAGGCCCUAGGGUUGUAAAGCUCUUUUACCCGGGAAGAUAAUGACUGUACCGGGAGAAUAAGCCCCGG
Molecule: ribosomal RNA, 421 nt
Filed under: uncultured bacterium
Lineage: Bacteria
Description: bacterial SSU rRNA
Rfam family: Bacterial small subunit ribosomal RNA
Source: RNAcentral